RNAcentral lists this ribosomal RNA (463 nucleotides) under uncultured Desulfobulbus sp. RNAcentral's name for it is "bacterial SSU rRNA". It matches the Rfam family "Bacterial small subunit ribosomal RNA", at positions 924 to 1382 of the family's 1533-position model. Lineage: Bacteria; Pseudomonadati; Thermodesulfobacteriota; Desulfobulbia; Desulfobulbales; Desulfobulbaceae. The record is from RNAcentral.
CACAAGCGGUGGAGUAUGUGGUUUAAUUCGAUGUAACGCGAAGAACCUUACCUGGUCUUGACAUCCCGGGGACCCUUAGGAAACUAGGGGUGCUUCCAUCUGGAAGAAUCUGGAGACAGGUGCUGCAUGGCUGUCGUCAGCUCGUGUCGUGAGAUGUUGGGUUAAGUCCCGCAACGAGCGCAACCCUUGCCUUUAGUUGCCAGCAGUUCGGCUGGGCACUCUAAAGGGACUGCCGGUGUUAAACCGGAGGAAGGUGGGGAUGACGUCAAGUCCUCAUGGCCUUUAUGACCAGGGCUACACACGUACUACAAUGGCCGAUACAAAGGGCAGCGACACUGCGAGGUGAAGCCAAUCCCGUAAAAUCGGUCUCAGUCCGGAUUGGAGUCUGCAACUCGACUCCAUGAAGUUGGAAUCGCUAGUAAUCGUGGAUCAGCAUGCCACGGUGAAUACGUUCCCGGGCCUU